RNAcentral lists this ribosomal RNA (253 nucleotides) under uncultured bacterium. RNAcentral's name for it is "partial 16S ribosomal RNA". It matches the Rfam family "Bacterial small subunit ribosomal RNA", at positions 524 to 776 of the family's 1533-position model. The record is from RNAcentral.
UACGAAGGUCCCAAGCGUUGUUCGGAAUCACUGGGCGUAAAGGGAGCGUAGGCGGCGUGGUAAGUCAGAUGUGAAAUCCCGGGGCUCAACCCCGGAACUGCAUCCGAUACUGCCAUGCUUGAGGGUUGGAGAGGUGACUGGAAUUCUCGGUGUAGCAGUGAAAUGCGUGGAUAUCGAGAGGAACACUCGUGGCGAAGGCGAGUCACUGGACAACAUCUGACGCUGAGGCUCGAAGGCUAGGGUAGCGAAAGGG